RNAcentral lists this ribosomal RNA (492 nucleotides) under uncultured bacterium. RNAcentral's name for it is "bacterial SSU rRNA". It matches the Rfam family "Bacterial small subunit ribosomal RNA", at positions 29 to 500 of the family's 1533-position model. The record is from RNAcentral.
AAUCAACGCUGGCGGCGUGCCUAACACAUGCAAGUCGAACGCGAAAGCCCCGCAAGGGGUAAGUAGAGUGGCAGACGGGUGAGUAACGCGUGGGUGACCUGCCUUCGAGUGGGGGAUAACGUCCCGAAAGGGACGCUAAUACCGCAUGACAUCCUGCCUUUGAACAGGCGGUGAUCAAAGCCGGGGCCGCAAGGCCUGGCGCUUGAAGAGGGGCCCGCGUCCGAUUAGCUAGUUGGUGAGGUAACGGCCCACCAAGGCGACGAUCGGUAGCCGGCCUAAGAGGGCGGACGGCCACACUGGGACUGAGACACGGCCCAGACUCCUACGGGAGGCAGCAGUGGGGAAUUGUUCGCAAUGGGCGCAAGCCUGACGACGCAACGCCGCGUGGAGGAUGAAGAUCUUCGGGUCGUAAACUCCUGUCGAGCGGGACGAAAGAUCCGCGACCGAAUACGUCGCGGAAGUGACGGUACCGCUAGAGGAAGCCCCGGCUAA